Molecule: long non-coding RNA, 322 nt
Filed under: Naja naja (Indian cobra)
Lineage: Eukaryota; Metazoa; Chordata; Lepidosauria; Squamata; Elapidae
Description: lncRNA (ENSNNAG00000016261.1)
Source: RNAcentral
GCAACCCGUCAGCAAACUUACACCGAAGAUCUGAUUUUUGCAGCAUAACCAUGGGCCGGAGAAUCAUCAGCCGCGGCCCAUUGCGCUUGCUUCUUUCGCUAAUAUAGCAUAUUAUUUUGCAGUAUAUUCACGCUGUCCAAGAGUCAGUCGCGCCUCUCCUGUUUCCUUACCUCCCGUCACUGCAGAAUUUUUGUUUUUUAAAAAGGAAGACUCGAAGGCUUCCCCCCCCUUUAAAUGGACAUACUGGAUCUCGAAGAAGAUAAGUUUCAUGAAUUCGAAAGAAACUUGCAGUGAAUUCUGGGUACCUGGAUUUGUUUUCUAG